Molecule: long non-coding RNA, 213 nt
Filed under: Lathyrus oleraceus (garden pea)
Lineage: Eukaryota; Viridiplantae; Streptophyta; Magnoliopsida; Fabales; Fabaceae
Description: Pisum sativum (pea) long non-coding RNA (PSAT_LNC040654)
Source: RNAcentral
AAAUGGAGCUACCAACACAUUGGAUUUACAAGACUUGCUAUCCUAUUGUAAUGGCUAUCCUUGAGGCAUGAAUUUGGAAGCAAAUGCAUUGGUCCUGUAUCCUGCAGUGGCCAAAACCAACAUGAGCCUCACAUAAGAAAAACCAUGCUUAGCCACUUACCACCUGAUGAACUGAACAAAGGGAUCCAGCAGGGCAAUGCAAGGCCAAUUCAA